RNAcentral lists this unclassified non-coding RNA (163 nucleotides) under uncultured Nectriaceae. Its description in RNAcentral is "sequence contains ITS2". Lineage: Eukaryota; Fungi; Ascomycota; Sordariomycetes; Hypocreales; Nectriaceae. The record is from RNAcentral.
CAACCCUCAAGCCCCAGCGGUUUGGUGUUGGGCAUCGGCCGUCCUCUGCGGCGGCCGUGCCCCAAAUACAGUGGCGGACUCGCUGUUGCCUCCUCUGCGUAGUAAUUACACCUCGCACCGGAUAGACACGAAGUCCACGCCGUAAAACAACCCAAUUUCUGAA